AAGUUUCACACUCCAAACAGAGGGGUCCAAAGUCCGCUAUCGCGAGAGUAAACUGCAUCGCGCGAAGAAGCUCUUUUCAUCCCUUUGGUGCGCUCUGAGCCGCAGAUGUUUAUAUUUAAAUAUGACGUGCCGGUGUUGGUCCUGGCUGCUCCCUGCUUUUUUGCCAUCUGCCUCGUGUUUGCCCUGUGUGACAGCACCAGGUAUUUGACCUGCUUCCCUCCUGACGAGGACAUUUGCAAAGAUGAGGGAGGCAUCUGACGCUGGAAAGGACCGAGUCGAUCACACGUGGAACCCCACGAGGGGUCCUCCAUGAACGUUUCCCUUUCUUCUAUCGAGUGAAGCUCCCGGUCGCGACGGAUCGAUUGAGCGUCUGUUUGACGGUGAGAAAUGAGCCCGUUAACGUGGAGACCGAGCUCGCUCCACAUUCAUCUGAGAGACGGUGAAUCAUCGCGCUGCUGUUGGAGCCGAUGGAGGCACAUCUGCUCCUUUCCAAGAACUUAAAUGAAGAGCAAAAUGA
Long non-coding RNA from Oryzias melastigma (Indian medaka), 517 nucleotides. RefSeq lists it as uncharacterized. The transcript has 2 exons. NCBI's taxonomy places the organism in Eukaryota, Metazoa, Chordata, Actinopteri, Beloniformes, Adrianichthyidae. The record is from RefSeq and is a predicted model, not a curated record.